Ribosomal RNA from Dipodomys ordii (Ord's kangaroo rat), 119 nucleotides. Lineage: Eukaryota; Metazoa; Chordata; Mammalia; Rodentia; Heteromyidae. The record is from Ensembl.
GUCUACGGCCAUACCACCCUGAACGCGCCUCAUCUCGUGUGAUCUCGGAAGCUAAGCAGGGUCGGGCCUGUUUAGUACUUGGAUGGGAGACCGCCUGGGAAUACCGGGUGCUGUAGGCU